UAGGGAAUCUUCCACAAUGGGCGCAAGCCUGAUGGAGCAACGCCGCGUGAGUGAUGAAGGCCUUUGGGUUGUAAAACUCUGUCUUCUGUGACGAACAAGCCUGUGAGUGGAAUGCUCAGGCCCUGACGGUAACAGAGGAGGAAGCCACGGCUAACUACGUGCCAGCAGCCGCGGUAAUACGUAGGUGGCAAGCGUUGUCCGGAAUCACUGGGCGUAAAGCGCGCGCAGGCGGCGAUCUACGUCUGGGGUGAAAGCCCGGGGCUCAACCUCGGGACUGCCUUGGAUACGGGAUCGCUUGAGAAUCGGAGAGGCAAGGGGAAUUCCACGUGUAGCGGUGAAAUGCGUAGAGAUGUGGAGGAACACCUGUGGCGAAGGCGCCUUGCUGGCCGAUUUCUGACGCUGAGGCGCGAAAGCGUGGGGAGCAAACAGG
RNAcentral lists this ribosomal RNA (430 nucleotides) under uncultured bacterium. RNAcentral's name for it is "bacterial SSU rRNA". It matches the Rfam family "Bacterial small subunit ribosomal RNA", at positions 355 to 776 of the family's 1533-position model. The record is from RNAcentral.